CGAAGUGGUAGACGACCGGCUCUGUUGCCAACCGGUUCCAAAGAAUCCCUUGUAAAGGUAAUCGCAUAACACCUCCCUCCUAGGGGUUUGGGCCCUUAUGAAAGCCGUGGGACCCUUGCAUGUCUAAUAAGUUCCCUUCGGAACUUUGUGCCUUGUGCCUAGGGUUCCGACUAUCUUGGCGCCCAGUACUGCCAACCAUCCGUCAGUGCGGAGGAGUGCUGCUUUGGGCAUCCUAUGGGAGAGGCCAAGACUGGGGUUUCCUGCGAGGAGCAGAAACAGUUUUUUGAGUCCAUAUACCCAAGUUGUAUGCCCGUUC
Molecule: non-coding RNA, 316 nt
Organism: Pelobates cultripes (western spadefoot toad)
Lineage: Eukaryota; Metazoa; Chordata; Amphibia; Anura; Pelobatidae
Source: the annotation of a GenBank genome assembly